UUAUGGGCAGUGUGUGGGUGUCACUGCACUGCACGUCGGCAGCACACUGCGCCCCUCCUCCUCCUCCUCCUCCAGCGCUUCCCUUUGAUCGGGUAUCCACACACACACACACACGCAAACGUGUAGGCGAGGCAAGCGCGCACACACGUCAUGCUUUGCGGAUCCUGGACGCUGCACCGAUGUGCGUGUGCACCGGCUCUCGCGACAAGGGGCGCACUGAACACGGCAGUCUCAUGGACAUCGUCUCACACCCUUGCCUUUUCUGCCUCCCUGCGGUGGUGUAGUAGUACGGCCAGGAGCACUAGCAAUACAGCGCGUUGCACGGGCAGCGCUGACGCCGAGAACGCCUCCUCGGCGAGUGCAUCGGCGCCGAACCCCUCUACAGCAGGGACGACCGCACCCAAGCGUCGAGUACAGAUAGCGGUGGUGGGCAGCGGGCCCAGCGGCUGUUUCGUAGCCAGCCACCUUGUCAAGAAGCACCUCGAGCUGCACGUGGACAUCUUUGAGCGGCUGCCAGUGCCGUUUGGUCUAUGCCGCUACGGUGUGUCGCCGGAUCACCCGGACGUGAAAAACGUGGAGAAGCAGUUCAUGGAUCUCUUCCAGAGCGGGCGCGUGACGUGGGUCGGGAACGUGUCCAUUGGGAAGGAGAUCCCGCUGCAGGCGCUGCUGGCGCACUACGCGGCGGUGGUGUUCGCGACCGGCGCGGACGGGACGAAGAAGCUGCGCAUCCCGGGCGAGGACCUCGGCGGCGUCAUCUCCGCCCACAGCUUUGUGGAGUACUACAACACCCUCCCGUUUCCGUACGGCUCGCCGCGCUUCUGCCCCUUCGAUCUUGAGCGCACGAAGCGCGCCGUCGUCAUCGGGAACGGCAACGUGGCGAUGGACGUGGUGCGGGUGCUCGGCGGGUCGUACAAGUACUUCUCUCCAACCGACAUGAACUGUGUUUGCAUCAAGGAGCUCAUGAAGAAUCGGAUCGAGCACAUCAGCGUGGUGGCCCGCCGCGGCGUGGAGCACUCGGCGUUCGCUACCGCCGAGUUCCGCGAGAUCACCAAGUAUCAGGAAGGCCAUGUGAAAGUCGAGGUGGACCACUUCGACCUCGGCGCGGCGGUGGCGGCAAUGCCGGUCGGCAAGGUCAUGCGUGCGCACAAGCGCAUGAUGGAGCUCGUGCAUCAAUAUGCGCUGACCAGCGAAGAAACAGCCGCCGAAGCGGCGCAGCUGGCAACGGAUGCGCAGGGCGUGCCACUUCCGAGCGCUGCCGCCUCGCCUGCAGAGCCGUCUGCGACGACGACAGCAUCGGAAUACGGAAUGGGCCGCCCACAACACGGCAACCGUGGGUCGUGCUGCCUUCGCUUUCGAUACAACCUCACGCCGAUCGCCAUCCUGCCCAGCCGCCACCGCAAGAACUACGUUGGUGGGGUUCUCUUCAAGAGGACGCGUGGCGAGGCACCGGGCAAGGCAACAGAAGACGAGGGCGAGUACUGCGUCGUGCCGUGCGACCUUGUCAUGACCUCCAUCGGCUACCGCUCUGACAGCAUUGCCGGCGUCCCGUUCGACGACCGCGCCGGUGUCAUCGACAACGAGAAGGGGCGCGUGAAGGGCAUGCCGCGUGUGUACUGCGCCGGCUGGGCCAAGAACGGUGCCAAGGGCAUCAUCCUCCACUCCGUCGUCGAUGCGCAGGAGACGGCAGCGACUAUUCUGGCGGACAUGGAGGCAGGCGUCAUCCCGACGGAGCCGACAGUGCAGCCGGAGGAGGCCGAGGGAACCGCAGCGGCAGUCAGGUCCUCGUCAGCAAGCGCGGCCGAAGCCGAGUCGGUGGAGGUGCUGUCCUUUGAAAGCGGCAACUCGACGCCGCACCGACAGGCGGCCGGCGCUGCCACCACAACGAUGUACGGCAAGUACGGUCUCGUCGACUACUUCGUCACCAAAAAGCUUCAGCCUGUGUCCAUUGCGGGCCUGCAGCGCAUCUUGCACGUCGAGCACCAACGUGGUGUCGACCUCGGCAAGAAGGCAGAGAAGAUCAGCACGGUGCGCGACAUGCUCGACGUGGCCCUCGGUGGUGGCGUGGGCAAGAAGGCUGACGAGCGCAUCCGCGGCAUGACCCCUGCCCGCUCUGACGCGAUGCUGUACCUGAAGGAGCUGCUGGACGACGAUACGGACUUGAGGGCGCUUGCUCGCCAGGUUGCGCGGGAUGUGCCGCACAAGCUUGCCCAGCAGCAUCCGCUCGGCAGCAUCGCGCCUGGACAGCUGUAGGUCUCCAUCUGUCUUUGAUGAGACGUCGAACGCGUUGUUGGGCGCUGUUCGGUGGCCUUCUUCCUUUAUAUCUAUCUCUCGC
Molecule: unclassified non-coding RNA, 2332 nt
Filed under: Leishmania donovani
Lineage: Eukaryota; Euglenozoa; Kinetoplastea; Trypanosomatida; Trypanosomatidae
Description: gene:LdHU3.21.0520(CDS-product:NADPH:adrenodoxin_ oxidoreductase_mitochondrial_putative)
Source: RNAcentral